GCCCUCUCAGCAUCUUCAAAUCUUUUCUCUGAUACCCCCUUUUCAGGGGUGCCUUCCCUGACCACAUUAUUUAAAAUUGCAAAUUUCUCCCUGAACUGUGCUCUCUCUGAAUCUUCCAUUUUACUUAUUUUGUAGCAUAUAUUGCAUCUGAGAGACACUGUUUCUCUUUUUCAUCUGUUCAUUUAGUAAUUGUCUCAUUCCCCUCCCUCACUAGAUGGUAAAACUCCAGGUAAAAGUCCAGAAGACUCAAGGUUUUAUGUGCUUUGGUCCCUACUGUGUUCUGAGUACCAGUAUCCAUGCCUGCCACUUAGAUCUGCUAGACUUUCUUGAUAUUUGAAAAUUGAGCCCAGAUGCUCAUCUGUGAUUCCAGAUGCCAUAUUCCCUGAAAAUCUCCAGAUUCUGAUUCCCAUUUCCAAUGUCAAGUUUACUUCAUUCAAAAUAACGGGGGAAGCCAGACUAAGCUUUGAACAAAUAAAAUUUAUCCUGGGAACAGAUCACUAUUCUCUCUGCUCACUGACAUCGGCACCCUCCACCAGAUGGCAUCUAACUCAGUUGAGCCAACACCUCUACGCUUGAAUUGCAGAAUAAGAUCUAGGAAGCUAACCUGAACCUGACCUACAACUUGGAGCUAAGUGCUGCUAAGCCCAGUCAACAUCAGCCAAACCCCAACCAACCCGUAGAUCAGUGA
This is a long non-coding RNA of Myotis myotis, 688 nucleotides long. RefSeq lists it as uncharacterized. The transcript has 5 exons. The record is from RefSeq and is a predicted model, not a curated record. Lineage: Eukaryota; Metazoa; Chordata; Mammalia; Chiroptera; Vespertilionidae.